AAUAUUGCUGAAUUUGGUGCAUAGGUGGGGUUCGGGCAGACUGUAUGUACACCACUGAGGCCUCGCUGUGAUAUAUGCACAGUUAAUGGUCUUUGCCCGUCUGCAUUUACAGAGACCCCAAGUCCCUCAUCCACAUCGAAGAAGUCUCGCCCCUCAUCCACACUGAAGAAGUCUCGCCUAAACAAGUAUCCAUAGAGAUGUAAUGAUUACCUGAGCCUUUCAUUUCCCGUUGGGGAAGAACUCCAAGGACCAACAUGAAGGUUGUUUUUUGCAAGUC
Molecule: long non-coding RNA, 277 nt
Organism: Olea europaea var. sylvestris
Lineage: Eukaryota; Viridiplantae; Streptophyta; Magnoliopsida; Lamiales; Oleaceae
Exons: 2
Source: RefSeq, a predicted model, not a curated record